AGAACCUGAAACCGUGUACGUACAAGCAGUGGGAGCACCCUUCGGGGUGUGACUGCGUACCUUUUGUAUAAUGGGUCAGCGACUUAUAUUCUGUAGCAAGGUUAACCGAAUAGGGGAGCCGGAGGGAAACCGAGUCUUAAUUGGGCGUUAAGUUGCAGGGUAUAGACCCGAAACCCGGUGAUCUAGCCAUGGGCAGGUUGAAGGUUGGGUAACACUAACUGGAGGACCGAACCGACUAAUGUUGAAAAAUUAGCGGAUGACCUGUGGCUGGGGGUGAAAGGCCAAUCAAACCGGGAGAUAGCUGGUUCUCCCCGAAAGCUAUUUAGGUAGCGCCUCGUGAAUUCAUCUCCGGGGGUAGAGCACUGUUUCGGCUAGGGGGCCAUCCCGGCUUACCAACCCGAUGCAAACUGCGAAUACCGGAGAAUGUUAUCACGGGAGACACACGGCGGGUGCUAACGUCCGUCGUGAAGAGGGAAACAACCCAGACCGCCAGCUAAGGUCCCAAAGUCAUGGUUAAGUGGGAAACGAUGUGGGAAGGCCCAGACAGCCAGGAUGUUGGCUUAGAAGCAGCCAUCAUUUAAAGAAAGCGUAAUAGCUCACUGGUCGAGUCGGCCUGCGCGGAAGAUGUAACGGGGCUAAACCAUGCACCGAAGCUGCGGCAGCGACACUGUGUGUUGUUGGGUAGGGGAGCGUUCUGUAAGCCUGCGAAGGUGGCCUGUGAGGGUUGCUGGAGGUAU
Molecule: ribosomal RNA, 737 nt
Filed under: Salmonella enterica subsp. enterica serovar Indiana
Lineage: Bacteria; Pseudomonadati; Pseudomonadota; Gammaproteobacteria; Enterobacterales; Enterobacteriaceae
Description: partial 23S ribosomal RNA
Rfam family: Bacterial large subunit ribosomal RNA
Source: RNAcentral